RNAcentral lists this ribosomal RNA (950 nucleotides) under uncultured delta proteobacterium. Its description in RNAcentral is "bacterial SSU rRNA". It matches the Rfam family "Bacterial small subunit ribosomal RNA", at positions 8 to 937 of the family's 1533-position model. The record is from RNAcentral. Lineage: Bacteria; Deltaproteobacteria.
AGAGUUUGAUCCUGGCUCAGAACGAACGCUGGCGGCGUGCUUAACACAUGCAAGUCGAACGAGAAAGCUUUCUUCGGAAAGUGAGUAGAGUGGCGCACGGGUGAGUAACGCGUAGGUAAUCUAUCCUUACAUUUGGGAUAACAUCGGGAAACUGGUGCUAAUACCGAAUGGUCUUCAUUGCUUUGGGGCGAUGGAGUAAAGGUGGCCUCUUCAUGAAAGCUACCGUGUAGGGAUGAGCCUGCGUACCAUUAGCUAGUAGGUGGGGUAAUGGCCCACCUAGGCUACGAUGGUUAGCGGGUCUGAGAGGAUGAUCCGCCACACUGGAACUGAAACACGGACCAGACUCCUACGGGAGGCAGCAGUGAGGAAUAUUGCGCAAUGGGGGAAACCCUGACGCAGCGACGCCGCGUGAGUGAGGAAGGUUUUCGGAUCGUAAAGCUCUGUCAGAAGGGAAGAAGUGUUAUAUGGUUAAUACCCGUAUAAUUUGACGGUACCUUCAGAGGAAGCACCGGCUAACUCCGUGCCAGCAGCCGCGGUAAUACGGAGGGUGCAAGCGUUGUUCGGAAUUACUGGGCGUAAAGGGCGCGUAGGCGGCCUGAUAAGUCAGAUGUGAAAGUCCACGGCUCAACCGUGGAAGUGCAUUUGAAACUGUCAGGCUUGAGUAUCGGAGGGGAGUGUGGAAUUCCCGGUGUAGAGGUGAAAUUCGUAGAGAUCGGGAGGAACACCGGUGGCGAAGGCGACACUCUGGACGAAUACUGACGCUGAGGCGCGAAAGCGUGGGGAGCAAACAGGAUUAGAUACCCUGGUAGUCCACGCCGUAAACGAUGUGAACUAGGGAUAGGGGGUGUUGAUCCCUCCUGUCCCGCAGCUNACGCAUUAAGUUCACCGCCUGGGGAGUACGGUCGCAAGAUUAAACUCAAGGAAUUGACGGGGGCCGCACAGCGGUGGAU